CCUACGGGGAGCAGCAGUGGGGAAUAUUGGACAAUGGGGGGAACCCUGAUCCAGCCAUGCCGCGUGUGUGAAGAAGGCCCUCGGGUUGUAAAGCACUUUCAGUGAGGAAGAACGCCUGGUGGUUAAUACCCAUCAGGAAAGACAUCACUCACAGAAGAAGCACCGGCUAACUCCGUGCCAGCAGCCGCGGUAAUACGGAGGGUGCGAGCGUUAAUCGGAAUUACUGGGCGUAAAGCGCGCGUAGGUGGCUUGAUAAGCCGGUUGUGAAAGCCCCGGGCUCAACCUGGGAACGGCAUCCGGAACUGUCAAGCUAGAGUGCAGGAGAGGAAGGUAGAAUUCCCGGUGUAGCGGUGAAAUGCGUAGAGAUCGGGAGGAAUAUCAGUGGCGAAGGCGGCCUUCUGGACUGACACUGACACUGAGGUGCGAAAGCGUGGGUAGCAAACAGGAUUAGCUACCCGUGUAGUC
RNAcentral lists this ribosomal RNA (465 nucleotides) under Vreelandella stevensii. Its description in RNAcentral is "partial 16S ribosomal RNA". It matches the Rfam family "Bacterial small subunit ribosomal RNA", at positions 338 to 795 of the family's 1533-position model. The record is from RNAcentral. Lineage: Bacteria; Pseudomonadati; Pseudomonadota; Gammaproteobacteria; Oceanospirillales; Halomonadaceae.